This is a long non-coding RNA of Haliotis rubra (blacklip abalone), 408 nucleotides long. RefSeq lists it as uncharacterized. The transcript has 3 exons. Lineage: Eukaryota; Metazoa; Mollusca; Gastropoda; Lepetellida; Haliotidae. The record is from RefSeq and is a predicted model, not a curated record.
UUACACAAGAAGGUUUUGGAUGCUCGCCAGCCGCAGCAUCGAACAUCGGAGAUAGGGAUGAUUCUUGCUCUGAAUAGUGUCUUCUGUAUACAGUAUAAACAGAAUUCCAUGUAGAAAUUCCACCAUAUUUGAACAGAAUGACUGUCUGGUUCAUAAUGUGGACAGCACUCUUGGUAAUGGCUACAGAAGCUGUUCCAUGCCAUUACACCCAUCACUGUUCAGACUGUGACAGAGAGACAGGGGAUUGCCUCUCUGAGUGUGACACUGGGUAUUAUGAUCGACAAUGUAAGUCUACCUGCAGCCGGAACUGUAGGAAUAACAAAUGCGUGCUGUCAGAACAUGCUAGCGAUAACUGUACUGAUGGUUGUGUGCCAGGUUAUUCUGGCAUUGGGUGCAACAUACCAUGUG